AUGCUUGCUUUGGCAGCAUCUAUACUAAAAUUGGAAUGAUACAGAGAAGAUUAGCAUGGCCCCUGCGCAAGGAUGACACGCAAAUUUGCGAAGUGUUUUAUAUUUUU
Aotus nancymaae (Ma's night monkey) is the source of this 107-nucleotide small nuclear RNA. The record is from Ensembl. NCBI's taxonomy places the organism in Eukaryota, Metazoa, Chordata, Mammalia, Primates, Aotidae.